AGGUGCGAUCAUACCACCACUAAUGCGUCGUAUCCCAUAGAACUCCGCAGUUAAGCGUGCUUGGACGAGAGUAGUACUAGAUUUGUUGACUUCCAGAGAAGUCUUUGUGGGAGAUGUCUU
This 120-nucleotide ribosomal RNA is filed under the name Cicer arietinum (chickpea). The record is from RNAcentral. Lineage: Eukaryota; Viridiplantae; Streptophyta; Magnoliopsida; Fabales; Fabaceae.